RNAcentral lists this long non-coding RNA (232 nucleotides) under Elaeis guineensis (African oil palm). RNAcentral's name for it is "long non-coding RNA (EGUI_LNC006074)". Lineage: Eukaryota; Viridiplantae; Streptophyta; Magnoliopsida; Arecales; Arecaceae. The record is from RNAcentral.
UGCCGGUAGCACACCCGCACAUCUACAAUGGUGGAAGAUCUAUGGGCUUAAUAUUUUUAGAAAGAUUAGAUUUAGGUCUCAUCUAAUCAGUCAUCAUAUGAUCAAUCUAACUAGCAUGGGCUAAACCAGAUUGCUAAGCAACCUAAUUCAAGACCCAAUCUUUCAAAUUAACCAGAUAAGUGGAGAUCGAUAGGGAUCCCCCCAUUGCCUUCUUAAGACAUCAAUAAAUUGA